This 83-nucleotide transfer RNA is filed under the name Lachnospiraceae bacterium. RNAcentral describes it as "tRNA-Leu". It matches the Rfam family "tRNA". From Rfam's summary of the family: Transfer RNA (tRNA) molecules are approximately 80 nucleotides in length. Their secondary structure includes four short double-helical elements and three loops (D, anti-codon, and T loops). Further hydrogen bonds mediate the characteristic L-shaped molecular structure. tRNAs have two regions of fundamental functional importance: the anti-codon, which is responsible for specific mRNA codon recognition, and the 3' end, to which the tRNAs corresponding amino acid is attached (by aminoacyl-tRNA synthetases). tRNAs cope with the degeneracy of the genetic code in two manners: having more than one tRNA (with a specific anti-codon) for a particular amino acid; and 'wobble' base-pairing, i.e. permitting non-standard base-pairing at the 3rd anti-codon position. Lineage: Bacteria; Bacillati; Bacillota; Clostridia; Lachnospirales; Lachnospiraceae. The record is from RNAcentral. RNAcentral also lists the same sequence under 1 other name.
GCGGAUGUGGCGGAAUGGCAGACGCAUCAGACUCAAAAUCUGACGGGCUUACACUCGUGCGGGUUCAAGUCCCGCCAUCCGCA